ACCAGCCUUCUCACGCUCACUCAGAGACCCCAGUGCCAGCCCAGCAAUGCCCCUCCUCAGAGCUCUGAGUCUUGGCCCUUUGAGAACCCUCCUUAAAUUUCUACAUUAAUAAUUCCAGAUCCCUCCUUUUUUUCUCCCAAUCGUAAUGGUGGGAGCUACUUCCUACAGUUGCUACCUCAGUGAUACUGUAGUAUCUUUUUACCCUUUCAGAUGUCUAGGUAGAAACUUUGUACCCAGUCAACAAUUUCUUAUAGUUAAUUCUUUCUGUUGAAAUAACUGGUGUAGUUUCUGUCUCCUGCUGGGACUCCACCUGGUACAGUGAGAUUGAGAGAGAGAGGCUGGGAGGAUCAGUCAUCUGCAGACAGCUGAGCAUUGUGGGAGGGGCCAGGCCGUUGACUGUGCCCCUGAUGUCGAUGGACAUGAUUAACUGAAGAAUCCAAAGGUUGCUUACAGUGUUUCAGGCGCUGGAUGAAGGUGCCUGCUUAAUUCAGGCCCUCAGGGUCUGGACAGCCAUCUCCGGCCUCCGUGAUGAUUCACCUUCAGCUCCGAAGGUGGUGGGGACAGAUGAAUCACCAUCGUUUCAGAAGGAACAGCUAAUGGAAAGAAGCUAGUUUUGUGAUCUGACUAAGGCAAUUAUACAUUCCCAACCCAUAGGAAGCGCCGGCAUUCACAAAGUCUACCCAGCCUGCAAGGGAACGGGAUAUCAGAGGCUGGGGGUAUUCUAGGAAACUUGGAUGUAUGGCUGACAAAAGUCAUAUGAAUUUGAAGUCAGGGUCUUGGGAUAGCCUGAACUCUCUAAAAGGAGGGUUACCCUACAAGGACUGAUAUGUUUCCUAAAGCAUACAUUGCCUUCCUGGUAACAGCAGCUGUAGUGAUGCAACAAUAAUGAUUGCAGUGCACCAAAUAGUCCCGAGAUGCUGAAGUCCAAGGCCUUCGCCUGACAAUCCCUGGGAGAUCCAUUUGUGAAGUCAACUCUGAGACAGGCAGACUUCCCAGAGCUGGUGGCCAUGCUGCCUGGAUUCCACGUGGGACCAACCUGACCAGCUGGUCUGCUGAGUGGCCCCAGGGAGGCCCAUCUAAGGAGGGGUAAAUGAGGUGUAGCUGUGAGCUCCUUACUCAGCUGCAGCAGACAUCUGCCACUCUAUGACCAUUUUCAUCCUCUUUAGUCACAAAAACCAACCCUCCCCUCUACCCCACACUGACCCAGGGCUUUCUUUUCUGACCGUUCAGAGGUCCCUGGGCUACUCAAUGAUGGCAGUAGCCCAUUGCUUUUAGGCUAGCUUUUAAGUGUCCAUCCUGCCCACUGAUGAACUUGGCAGUGACGUUUUCAGGGCUCACCACUGUGGCCCUAGGCUGUGUUGAUUUCUAUCCUGUGGUAACUUAACACACAAACACGCAUGGGCGCACACACCCCACAGACCGUACCCACACAUGCACACUCAGAGGUUCCCCAUCAAUGGGACAAAACCAAAUGUGGGAAUCUUUUCUUGAGUGGGGACAGCUAGACCACCACAAAAGGUAGAGUUGUUGCAUUAACUUCUUAUUGUACUUAGAAUUCAGCUCUGUUUAAGUAGCAUUGUUUUCUUUUUCCUGGGGGUGUUGAUGGGAAAGGACCUGGUUCUCUCCAUAUCAUUAGGAACGUUCCUCCUGCACACCACACUCCAGGGCUUUACCUCUGGAGGUGCGCUUCAAAGUUAGAAAGAACACUCCAUUCUUGUUGGCUUUCGCUUCUUUCAUGCAACAGAUGUUCAGCACCUACUAUGUGUAAGAUCCCCGUGAGGCUUCGGAAGAUGUAAAAAUGCAUAAUCCUACUAAGUGAAGUAAGUCAGACAGAGAAAGACAAAUAUCAUAUGAUAUUGCUUAUAUGCAGAAUCUUAAAAGAAAAUGAUACAAAUGAACUUAUUUACAAAACAGAAACAGACUCACAGACUUAGAGAACAAACUUAUGGUUACCAGGGGGGAAGGGUGGGGAGAGGGAUAGAUUGGGAGUUUGGGUUGACGUGUAUACACUGCUAUAUUUAAGAUAGAUAACCACUUCGUCCCAGCUUCCUCCUUCCCCCUUGUGUCCUCAAGUCCAUUCUCUAUGUCUAGAGUAGCAUUGACAUAUAUACACUACCAAAUGUAAAAUAGUUAGCUAAUGGGAAGCA
Molecule: long non-coding RNA, 2147 nt
Organism: Balaenoptera acutorostrata (minke whale)
Lineage: Eukaryota; Metazoa; Chordata; Mammalia; Artiodactyla; Balaenopteridae
Exons: 3
Source: RefSeq, a predicted model, not a curated record